RNAcentral lists this ribosomal RNA (999 nucleotides) under Salmonella enterica subsp. enterica serovar Montevideo. RNAcentral's name for it is "partial 23S ribosomal RNA". It matches the Rfam family "Bacterial large subunit ribosomal RNA", at positions 1 to 1473 of the family's 2925-position model. The record is from RNAcentral. Lineage: Bacteria; Pseudomonadati; Pseudomonadota; Gammaproteobacteria; Enterobacterales; Enterobacteriaceae.
CAGUGGGAGCCCCACCACUAAGCCAGUGGUGAACUCCACAUACGCAUCCUUUGCUGAGGAUACGGUUAACGGAGCGAAAGCGACGUUCAACCGCAAAAGAAGCAGAGGGGGCUUAGUGGUGGGGUGACUGCGUACCUUUUGUAUAAUGGGUCAGCGACUUAUAUUCUGUAGCAAGGUUAACCGAAUAGGGGAGCCGGAGGGAAACCGAGUCUUAAUUGGGCGUUAAGUUGCAGGGUAUAGACCCGAAACCCGGUGAUCUAGCCAUGGGCAGGUUGAAGGUUGGGUAACACUAACUGGAGGACCGAACCGACUAAUGUUGAAAAAUUAGCGGAUGACCUGUGGCUGGGGGUGAAAGGCCAAUCAAACCGGGAGAUAGCUGGUUCUCCCCGAAAGCUAUUUAGGUAGCGCCUCGUGAAUUCAUCUCCGGGGGUAGAGCACUGUUUCGGCUAGGGGGCCAUCCCGGCUUACCAACCCGAUGCAAACUGCGAAUACCGGAGAAUGUUAUCACGGGAGACACACGGCGGGUGCUAACGUCCGUCGUGAAGAGGGAAACAACCCAGACCGCCAGCUAAGGUCCCAAAGUCAUGGUUAAGUGGGAAACGAUGUGGGAAGGCCCAGACAGCCAGGAUGUUGGCUUAGAAGCAGCCAUCAUUUAAAGAAAGCGUAAUAGCUCACUGGUCGAGUCGGCCUGCGCGGAAGAUGUAACGGGGCUAAACCAUGCACCGAAGCUGCGGCAGCGACACUCAGGUGUUGUUGGGUAGGGGAGCGUUCUGUAAGCCUGCGAAGGUGGCCUGUGAGGGUUGCUGGAGGUAUCAGAAGUGCGAAUGCUGACAUAAGUAACGAUAAAGCGGGUGAAAAGCCCGCUCGCCGGAAGACCAAGGGUUCCUGUCCAACGUUAAUCGGGGCAGGGUGAGUCGACCCCUAAGGCGAGGCCGAAAGGCGUAGUCGAUGGGAAACGGGUUAAUAUUCCCGUACUUGGUGUUACUGCGAAGGGGGGAC